This 86-nucleotide transfer RNA is filed under the name Opitutaceae bacterium. RNAcentral describes it as "tRNA-Leu". It matches the Rfam family "tRNA". Rfam says of the family: Transfer RNA (tRNA) molecules are approximately 80 nucleotides in length. The record is from RNAcentral. Lineage: Bacteria; Pseudomonadati; Verrucomicrobiota; Opitutia; Opitutales; Opitutaceae.
GCCCGGGUGGCGAAAUGGUAGACGCUUCUGACUUAAAAUCAGCUUUCCGAAAGGAAGUACCGGUUCGAGUCCGGUCCCGGGCACCA